AGCAGCCGCGGUAAUUCCAGCUCCAAUAGCGUAUAUUAAAGUUGCUGCAGUUAAAAAGCUCGUAGUUGAAUUUCGGGACCAUCAUGUCGGUCGUGCCUCGGUACGUACUGGCAUUGUUGGUUUCUCCCUUCUGACGAACCAUGAUGUCAUUAAUUUGAUGUCAUGGGGAAUCAGGACUGUUACUUUGAAAAAUUAGAGUGUUUAAAGCAGGCUCGCGCUUGAAUACAUUAGCAUGGAAUAAUGAAAUAGGACAUUUGAUUCUAUUUUGUGGUUUCUAGGAUCGAUGUAAUGAUUAAUAGGGAUAGUUGGGGGCAUUAGUAUUCAAUUGUCAGAGGUGAAAUUCUUGGAUUUAUUGAAGACUAACUACUGCGAAAGCAUUUGCCAAGGAUGUUUUCAUUAAUCAAGAACGAAAGUUAGGGGAUCGAAGACGAUCAGAUACCGUCGUAGUCUUAACCAUAAACUAUGCCGACUAGGGAUCGGAUGAUG
RNAcentral lists this ribosomal RNA (486 nucleotides) under uncultured Glomus. Its description in RNAcentral is "SSU rRNA". It matches the Rfam family "Eukaryotic small subunit ribosomal RNA", at positions 569 to 1062 of the family's 1831-position model. Lineage: Eukaryota; Fungi; Glomeromycota; Glomeromycetes; Glomerales; Glomeraceae. The record is from RNAcentral.